GACGAACGCUGGCGGCGUGCCUAAUACAUGCAAGUAGAACGCUGAAGGAGGAGCUUGCUCUUCUGGAUGAGUUGCGAACGGGUGAGUAACGCGUAGGUAACCUGCCUGGUAGCGGGGGAUAACUAUUGGAAACGAUAGCUAAUACCGCAUAAGAGUAGAUGUUGCAUGACAUUUGCUUAAAAGGUGCAAUUGCAUCACUACCAGAUGGACCUGCGUUGUAUUAGCUAGUUGGUGGGGUAACGGCUCACCAAGGCGACGAUACAUAGCCGACCUGAGAGGGUGAUCGGCCACCCUGGGACUGAGACACGGCCCAGACUCCUACGGGAGGCAGCAGUAGGGAAUCUUCGGCAAUGGACGGAAGUCUGACCGAGCAACGCCGCGUGAGUGAAGAAGGGUUUCGGAUCGUAAAGCUCUGUUGUAAGAGAAGAACGAGUGUGAGAGUGGAAAGUUCACACUGUGACGGUAUCUUACCAGAAAGGGACGGCUAACUACGUG
RNAcentral lists this ribosomal RNA (495 nucleotides) under uncultured bacterium. RNAcentral's name for it is "partial 16S ribosomal RNA". It matches the Rfam family "Bacterial small subunit ribosomal RNA", at positions 28 to 507 of the family's 1533-position model. The record is from RNAcentral.